Molecule: unclassified non-coding RNA, 557 nt
Filed under: Hevea brasiliensis (rubber tree)
Lineage: Eukaryota; Viridiplantae; Streptophyta; Magnoliopsida; Malpighiales; Euphorbiaceae
Source: RNAcentral
AGAAUUGCAGCAUCUAUUUGUUUAAUGGAGUUUUUGAUUAAGUUCUUCUGAGUUAGGUAGGUGCCUGUGCUGGAUAAACCUUUAACCCAGCUUAAAAGCUCAUCAUUACCUACCUGUUUUUACUCAUCUACACACCUGAAGCUUGCUUUGAUUUGCUUUGCUUAGUUCAGAAGGGUAAUUAUUUUCUUUCCCUUCGAUUCAAAUUUUAUUUUUUACUUAUCCAGAUUUUGAUCUUCUCACUUUCUUCGCUUUACUCAAAUUCCUUUUUGUUUUAGCGGGGUUUGUCACUUGGCAGUAGAUUUUCUUGCCAUAUGUGUACUUCUGUUUAGUUACUCACUGAGAGAUGGCCAUAGCUCGGCUUGCUCGCCGCGCGAAACGCCCAUAUGGGUUGUGUGCGAAGAUGACCGCAGUAGCGAUUAUGGGUCUCUGUUUUAUUUUUGUUUGGUCCUUGUUUUCUUCUUCUUCUACUACUUCAGUGACUACUCAGAGGGAAAGCUUCGAUGAUAUCGCUGAACCAGUACCAGCAAACAAUGGGGUAAGCAAUUCUAAGACCCAAU